RNAcentral lists this ribosomal RNA (292 nucleotides) under uncultured bacterium. RNAcentral's name for it is "partial 16S ribosomal RNA". It matches the Rfam family "Bacterial small subunit ribosomal RNA", at positions 505 to 796 of the family's 1533-position model. The record is from RNAcentral.
GUGUCAGCCGCCGCGGUAAUACAGAGGUGCCGAGCGUUAGGCGGAAUCACUGGGCUUAAAGCGUGUGUAGGCGGAUGCCUAAGUACCUUGUGAAAUCCCCCGGCUUAACCGGGGAACUGCUUGGUAUACUGGGUGUCUUGAGCCACUUAGGGGCGACCGGAACAAACGGUGGAGCGGUGAAAUGCGUAGAUAUCGUUUGGAACGCCAAUGGUGAAAACAGGUCGCUGGGAGUGUGCUGACGCUGAGACACGAAAGCCAGGGGAGCGAACGGGAUUAGAAACCCGCGUAGUCC